UAAUACCGGAUAGAUCAAAGAAACUGGAAUGUUCUCUGGUUAAAAACUCCGGUGCCCAAGGAUGGGUCUGCGGCCUAUCAGGUAGUAGUGGGUGUAACGUACCUACUAGCCUACGACGGGUAAGGGUUGUGAGAGCAAGAGCCCUGAGAUGGAUUCUGAGACAUGAAUCCAGGCCCUACGGGGUGCAGCAGGCGCGAAAACUUUACACUGCGGGAAACCGCGAUAAGGGGACCCCGAGUGCCAGCACCUAGUGCUGGCUGUCCAGCUGUCCAAAUAACAGUUGUUAGCAAGGGCCGGGCAAGACCGGUGCCAGCCGCCGCGGUAACACCGGCGGCCCGAGUGGUAGCCGUUAUUAUUGGGUUUAAAGGGUCCGUAGCCGGCCUAUUAAGUCUCUUGGGAAAUCUGGCGACUCAAUCGUCAGGCGUCC
Molecule: ribosomal RNA, 427 nt
Filed under: uncultured archaeon
Lineage: Archaea
Description: bacterial SSU rRNA
Rfam family: Archaeal small subunit ribosomal RNA
Source: RNAcentral